UCAAAUACUCUCCAUCCAAAUGACAAAGAAAAGAGAAGGGAAAAAAAAAAAGGCCAAAGCUCCCAUUUCUAUCAUUUUAUAUCCCCUCCUACCUCAUAAAAUGAAAUUAAAAACUUAUGAGUAGACACCAUAUUGUUUAACUCGAUGUUUUUGAAUAGUUAUGAAAGAUUCAACUGCCUUAUUUUGCGUAUUUCAGAACUAAAAAAACCAUUUUCCAAAAAAGCUUAUUCCCAUACUUCAGAAUUAAAACCUCUUUGCAUCGGUCACUUUAUUCCAAAAUUUCAAACAGUAACAAAUAUCACAUUCUACUCUGAAGAACCACAGAAACUGAGAGAGCAAAAUGCAGAAGACCCUUCAAUUCAAACCCCAACCUCUCAUCUCAGAAGCAUUCCUUUCUUUCGAUUCAAAUAGCAAGAUCGAGUUUUCUACGAAAUAACAGCAUCUCUGUAACUAGACCCUCCAAUCUCUUUUUUUCCCAAUCAAUUCUCUUCACAUUUGCUUUCACUUUCGAAUCAACCUCUCACACAAAAUCAAAUUAUAUGUGCAAGAAAUAGCAAAAGGCGAUUUGGGUCACAAAGAUCAAGAAAAUUCAUACUCGAAUUGGUUGGUUUCGUUGCGUCAAAUCUCAAUAUCUUACCAGAGCCAUUGGGUUUGCUUAUCGGAGAAUUUGGAAGUGGAAAAACUGGAGAUUAGGGUUUCCUAAGGGUUUUGGAGGGGGAGGCUUUGAUGGGUGGAGGAGGAAGAGGAAGGGAAAGAGAAAGAGAAAGAAGAAGUUGGGAUUUUUAGGGUUUCUCAUGGUCUGGGGUUGUGGUUGGUGUUGGGGAAAGAAAUGGAUAAGGAUGUGUUUUGGGGAGGUUUGGGUUUGGGUUUUGGUUUGGCUCUGUUUGCGGUUUUGAUUAAUGGGUGGAAGAGAGGGGCUAAAGAUUGGAUUUUAGGGUUUUGUUUUAGUGUUCUGUUGGUGGGUGUGGGGUUGAAGAGAGAAGAUUUGCAGAAAUGGGCUAAGGGUUGUAGGGCAAUGGAGAUUGUUAGGACAAGGAGGAGGAGAAGAGCAAUGCAAUAGAAAAGGAGUACUAUGUUGCGAAGUCGAAAAUGAUGGCAAAGUACUGAUAAGGGGAGUGACAACCACAGGUGAAAAAACAGUUUCCAGGUACUCCCAAAUGUUCGAAAUGCAAUCUCAGAACCUCUGUCCACCAGGCCACUUAUCCAUCUCUUUUAGGCUGCCAGGUCCAGUAGAUCCUCAAAAAAUUUCUGGUAAUUUUGGUACUGAUGGAAUUCUUGAAGGAAUUGGGAUGAAGGGUCAACAGCAAAGCUAGUAAUUAAGAUCGUGUUAUAGUCAAGAAACUUUUCACCCAAGCAUGUAGUUGUAUAUAUUCAAUUAGAAUUUCUGGUUUGUAAAGUUUCUGUAUUUUUUCGUCCUGACAAAGAUCUCGGUCCAUGUUCUUGGCGAUGCUUGAACCCUCUACUUUCACGUUGAAAUGAGAGGAUACCACUAGGCUACUGGCCUUGGUGGUAGUUUGCAAAGUUUCUGAAUUUUUUUUGUCCUGACAAAGAUCUCCGUCCAUGUUCUUGGGAUACUUGAACCCCUCUACCUUUCACGUUGGAAGGAGGGGAUACCACUAAGCUACUGGCUUGGUGGUGGUUUGUAAAUAUUUGCAAUGACCAAAUUAAAGUAUUGUAAUAUUUAUGAUAUAUAUAUAUAUAUAUGUGUGUGUGUGGUAUAUAAUUAAUGUUAAAAAAGAAAAAGAAAAAAAAAAAAAAAUGGUGGGACUCACCAUAAUUGCUUUUAUUGGCCAAAAGGCCAUUAUCACCUUAUCUCUCUCUCUCUCUCUCUCCCGAUCUGAUUCUCUCUUCUCCCUUUCUGUUUUUUUUUUUUUCUUUUCUUUUUUUCUUUUGCAAAAUUCAAGCUUCAAUUUCUCUUUCAUUCCUUGGAGUUUUUGGGUGCCGUUUGCGGCAAAUUGAAGAGCUCGGUGAAAUCUUCAAGUUGAUGUAAGCAAUUUCAGCUUUUGGCCACUCUAAGAAUUUUCGAAAAUUUGAACCUAUUUGAAGGAAUUUUACAAAAUUGAGGAUAAGAAAGGGAAAUAGCGGACGACGCUCCUCCACAGGUUUUGACGGUCUUUUCAGGUACCGGACGGUUCCAACCGUAGAGCUUGAUCAUGCGUAUCGAAGACAGACACUCAUUCAAAUGUUUACUUAUGACUUUUCUCUAUGUUUUAGUUUAGGAUUUUAUUUUCAGUAAUUCGUUUUCAGUUGUACUUAUGUUUAGGGGUCCACUAGAGGGAUUCCCGAGUUGUACUCAUGGAGGUUUUGGAAAGUUGGAGUAUAUUUUUAUUCUUUA
This is a long non-coding RNA of Cornus florida, 2335 nucleotides long. RefSeq lists it as uncharacterized. The transcript has 4 exons. The record is from RefSeq and is a predicted model, not a curated record. NCBI's taxonomy places the organism in Eukaryota, Viridiplantae, Streptophyta, Magnoliopsida, Cornales, Cornaceae.